This 497-nucleotide ribosomal RNA is filed under the name uncultured bacterium. RNAcentral describes it as "partial 16S ribosomal RNA". It matches the Rfam family "Bacterial small subunit ribosomal RNA", at positions 28 to 507 of the family's 1533-position model. The record is from RNAcentral.
GAUGAACGCUGGCGGCGUGCCUAAUACAUGCAAGUCGAGCGAACAGAUAAGGAGCUUGCUCCUUUGACGUUAGCGGCGGACGGGUGAGUAACACGUGGGUAACCUACCUAUAAGACUGGGAUAACUUCGGGAAACCGGAGCUAAUACCGGAUAAUAUUUUGAACCGCAUGGUUCAAUAGUGAAAGAUGGUUUUGCUAUCACUUAUAGAUGGACCCGCGCCGUAUUAGCUAGUUGGUAAGGUAACGGCUUACCAAGGCAACGAUGCGUAGCCGACCUGAGAGGGUGAUCGGCCACACUGGAACUGAGACACGGUCCAGACUCCUACGGGAGGCAGCAGUAGGGAAUCUUCCGCAAUGGGCGAAAGCCUGACGGAGCAACGCCGCGUGAGUGAUGAAGGUCUUCGGAUCGUAAAACUCUGUUAUUAGGGAAGAACAAACGUGUAAGUAACUGUGCACGUCUUGACGGUACCUAAUCAGAAAGCCACGGCUAACUACGUG